Molecule: ribosomal RNA, 460 nt
Filed under: uncultured bacterium
Lineage: Bacteria
Description: partial 16S ribosomal RNA
Rfam family: Bacterial small subunit ribosomal RNA
Source: RNAcentral
CCUACGGGAGGCAGCAGUGAGGAAUAUUGGUCAAUGGACGAGAGUCUGAACCAGCCAAGUAGCGUGAAGGAUGACUGCCCUAUGGGUUGUAAACUUCUUUUAUAUGGGAAUAAAAUGUUCCACGUGUGGGAUUUUGUAUGUACCAUAUGAAUAAGGAUCGGCUAACUCCGUGCCAGCAGCCGCGGUAAUACGGAGGAUCCGAGCGUUAUCCGGAUUUAUUGGGUUUAAAGGGAGCGUAGGUGGAUUGUUAAGUCAGUUGUGAAAGUUUGCGGCUCAACCGUAAAAUUGCAGUUGAAACUGGCAGUCUUGAGUACAGUAGAGGUGGGCGGAAUUCGUGGUGUAGCGGUGAAAUGCUUAGAUAUCACGAAGAACUGCGAUUGCGAAGGCAGUUCACUGGACUGCAACUGACACUGAGGCUCGAAAGUGUGGGUAUCAAACAGGAUUAGAUACCCAUGUAGUC